GGANUCAUGGGGGAACCCUGAUGCAGCGACGCCGCGUGAGCGAUGAAGCCCUUCGGGGUGUAAAGCUCUUUCGGCAGGGAAGAUUAUGACGGUACCUGCAGAAGCAGCUGCGGCUAACUACGUGCCAGCAGCCGCGGUAAUACGUAGGCAGCAAGCGUUGUUCGGAGUUACUGGGCGUAAAGGGUGUGUAGGUGGCGCGCUAAGUUCCGUGUGAAAUCUCCCGGCUCAACCGGGAGGGUGCGCGGAAAACUGGCGGGCUCGAGUACGGGAUGGGAGAGUAGAAUUCCUGGUGUAGCGGUGAAAUGCGUAGAUAUCAGGAGGAAUACCGGUGGUGUAGACGGCUCUCUGGACCGUAACUGACACUGAGACACGAAAGCGUGGGUAGCAAACAGGAUUAGAUACCCUGGUAGUCCACGCCCUAAACGAUGCAUAUUUGGUGUAGGUCAUUCAGUUGAUCUGUGCCGGAGCUAACGCGUUAAAUAUGCCGCCUGGGGAGUACAGUCGCAAGGCUGAAACUCAAAAGAAUUGACGGA
Molecule: ribosomal RNA, 533 nt
Filed under: uncultured bacterium
Lineage: Bacteria
Description: bacterial SSU rRNA
Rfam family: Bacterial small subunit ribosomal RNA
Source: RNAcentral